This 188-nucleotide unclassified non-coding RNA is filed under the name uncultured Rozellomycota. RNAcentral's name for it is "uncultured Cryptomycota sequence contains ITS2". Lineage: Eukaryota; Fungi; Rozellomycota. The record is from RNAcentral.
ACACGAUCAACUCUAGUUAAGAGUUGGGAUUGACCUUAUAUGCUGUCGCGUGUAUUUGGUUUGAAUGUAUCAAGUUGAUGGGCUUCCCAAUGUUGCUCAAUGUGUGCUAGCGAGACAGUCGUCCCGAUCUCACAUUUCCGCUUCAUUGCAAAGUCCUAAGCACAACUUUUUAAAUGUUUCAUCAUCAA